RNAcentral lists this ribosomal RNA (437 nucleotides) under uncultured bacterium. Its description in RNAcentral is "partial 16S ribosomal RNA". It matches the Rfam family "Bacterial small subunit ribosomal RNA", at positions 355 to 803 of the family's 1533-position model. The record is from RNAcentral.
UGGGGAAUAUUGCACAAUGGGCGCAAGCCUGAUGCAGCAACGCCGCGUGAGGGACGACGGCCUCGGGUUGUAAACCUCUUUUAGUAGGGAAGAAGCGAAAGUGACGGUACCUGCAGAAAAACGCACCGGCUAACUACGUGCCAGCAGCCGCGGUAAUACGUAGGGUGCAAGCGUUGUCCGGAAUUAUUGGGCGUAAAGAGCUCGUAGGCGGUUUGUCGCGUCUGCUGUGAAAACCCGAGGCUCAACCUCGGGCCUGCAGUGGGUACGGGCAGACUAGAGUGCGGUAGGGGAGAAUGGAAUUCCUGGUGUAGCGGUGGAAUGCGCAGAUAUCAGGAGGAACACCGAUGGCGAAGGCAGUUCUCUGGGCCGUAACUGACGCUGAGGAGCGAAACGCGUGGGGAGCGAACAGGAUUAGAUACCCUGGUAGUCCACGCCGU